GUCGAGCGGUAGCACAGAGAGCUUGCUCUCGGGUGACGAGCGGCGGACGGGUGAGUAAUGUCUGGGAAACUGCCUGAUGGAGGGGGAUAACUACUGGAAACGGUAGCUAAUACCGCAUAACGUCGCAAGACCAAAGUGGGGGACCUUCGGGCCUCAUGCCAUCAGAUGUGCCCAGAUGGGAUUAGCUAGUAGGUGGGGUAAUGGCUCACCUAGGCGACGAUCCCUAGCUGGUCUGAGAGGAUGACCAGCCACACUGGAACUGAGACACGGUCCAGACUCCUACGGGAGGCAGCAGUGGGGAAUAUUGCACAAUGGGCGCAAGCCUGAUGCAGCCAUGCCGCGUGUAUGAAGAAGGCCUUCGGGUUGUAAAGUACUUUCAGCGAGGAGGAAGGCAUUAAGGUUAAUAACCUUGGCGAUUGACGUUACUCGCAGAAGAAGCACCGGCUAACUCCGUGCCAGCAGC
This 463-nucleotide ribosomal RNA is filed under the name Klebsiella ornithinolytica. RNAcentral's name for it is "bacterial SSU rRNA". It matches the Rfam family "Bacterial small subunit ribosomal RNA", at positions 61 to 515 of the family's 1533-position model. Lineage: Bacteria; Pseudomonadati; Pseudomonadota; Gammaproteobacteria; Enterobacterales; Enterobacteriaceae. The record is from RNAcentral.